UGUGUCAGCCGCCGCGGUAAUUCCAGCUCCAAUAGCGUAUAUUUAAGUUGUUGCAGUUAAAAAGCUCGUAGUUGGAUUUCGGACGGGGACGACCGGUCCGCCGAACGGUGUGCACUGGUCGGUCCCGUCUUCCUGCCGAGGACGCGCGUCCUUCCUUCGUUGGAGGGGCCGCGGAGUCGGCGCAGUUACUUUGAAAAAAUUAGAGUGUUCAAAGCAAGCUUCACGCUGUGAAUACUAUAGCAUGGAAUAACGCGAUAGGACUCCGUGCCUAUUGUGUGGGUCUUCGGGACCGGAGUAAUGAUUAAUAGGGACAGUUGGGGGCAUUCGUAUUUCAUUGUCAGAGGUGAAAUUCUUGGAUUUAUGAAAGACGAACUUCUGCGAAAGCUUUGCCAAAA
Molecule: ribosomal RNA, 395 nt
Filed under: Picocystis salinarum
Lineage: Eukaryota; Viridiplantae; Chlorophyta; Picocystophyceae; Picocystales; Picocystaceae
Description: SSU rRNA
Rfam family: Eukaryotic small subunit ribosomal RNA
Source: RNAcentral